GAUUCCAUGGUCCUCCAUCACAUCGUGGAUCAUAUCAAGGAUCAUCAGGACGUGGUGGUGGUGGAUACCAUCAGCAGCAGCAUCAUCAGUACAAUCAUCAUGGCGCAUCAUCCACCGACCAGCAGACUUUUGAGCAAGGAGCACCGCCGGGCUCGGUUAGGUAAAUUAUUUGAUUUUUCCUCUUUUCCUCUUUUUUGCCCCAAAAAUUUGAAUUCUCACGCUUCAAAUUGGGUCCCACCACGAAAAUAUUGUAAGAAUUUAGAAUUACUGUAGUUUUCGUGGUGGGACCCAAUUUGGUGGCCCUGAAAAAUUUCCAAAAUUUCCAAAAUUUUUGCAGAAUUAAGAAGCGCGAAUCUGUGGAACUUGAAAGGCAAGCACCACAGCAACAACACGACGAAAUUCCGCCAGUCGACCCGAUACAGUACCCCAAAGAUGAUGUUAAG
RNAcentral lists this small RNA (443 nucleotides) under Caenorhabditis elegans. RNAcentral describes it as "Unclassified non-coding RNA H05C05.5". The record is from RNAcentral. Lineage: Eukaryota; Metazoa; Nematoda; Chromadorea; Rhabditida; Rhabditidae.